This 751-nucleotide small RNA is filed under the name Pongo abelii (Sumatran orangutan). Its description in RNAcentral is "retained intron". The record is from RNAcentral. Lineage: Eukaryota; Metazoa; Chordata; Mammalia; Primates; Hominidae.
GCCGGACCCUGGAGAGUUUCUGCACUCCCUUCGGGACCCCCACAGUUGCCCGCUGUGGUCCCUGGACCAUCGCUGGAGGCAGCCCGAGCUCACAUGCUGGCUUUGGGGCCACAGCAGCUGCUGGCCCAGGAUGAGGAGGGGGACACGUGAGUAUAAGGGAUGCGGUUGUCUGCAGACUCUUGGCUUGGCGGGGGCUGUUCUCACGGCUGUCCCCCACCUGUCCUCAGGCUCCUUCACCUGUUCGCGGCUCGGGGGCUGCGCUGGGCGGCAUAUGCUGCGGCUGAGGUGCUCCAGGUGUACCGGCAUCUUGACAUUCGUGAGCAUAAGGGCAAGACCCCGCUUCUGGUGGCAGCUGCUGCCAACCAGCCCCUGAUUGUGGAGGAUCUGUUGAACCUGGGAGCAGAGCCCAAUGCCGCUGACCAUCAGGGACGUUCGGUCUUGCACGUGGCCGCUACCUACGGGCUCCCAGGAGUUCUCUUGGUAUGGCCAGCUGGCAGGCAGGGGUUUGUUUGGGGGGUAGACUGGUUGCCCAGAUUUUGGCUUCCACGGCCAGGAGGCCAGGGGAUACCCUUACCCAGCAGUCUGCCUUCUCUUCCUCCCAGGCUGUGCUUAACUCCGGGGUCCAGGUUGACCUGGAAGCCAGAGACUUCGAGGGUAAGUUGGGUGUGGGCAGAGCUGGUGUGGUUGGUGUGGCUGGGCGAGGUGGGUGCAGAUGCGGGUCCCUCACUGUCUCCAUUCUGCAGGCCUCACC